Molecule: ribosomal RNA, 464 nt
Filed under: Hydrophis cyanocinctus (Asian annulated sea snake)
Lineage: Eukaryota; Metazoa; Chordata; Lepidosauria; Squamata; Elapidae
Description: partial 16S ribosomal RNA
Rfam family: Bacterial large subunit ribosomal RNA
Source: RNAcentral
CAGUGAAUAAUUAAACGGCCGCGGUACCCUAACCGUGCAAAGGUAGCGUAAUCAUUUGUCUAUUAAUUGUAGACCCGUAUGAAAGGCAUAAUGAGGGUUUAACUGUCUCUUUUAGUAAAUCAAUUAAACUGAUCUCCUAGUCCAAAAGCUAGGAUACCAACAUAAGACCAGAAGACCCUGUGAAACUUUAACUAAAAUAUUAAAGCCUAUAAUAACUACUUUAGGUUGGGGCGACCUUGGAAAAUAAAAGAACUUCCACACACAUAUUAUAUAAUAAUAUAUAACCGGCCAACAAGCCUACAACGACCCAGCACAGCUGACAAUUGAACCAAGCUACUCCAGGGAUAACAGCGCUAUCUUCUUCAAGAGCCCAUAUCAAAAAGAAGGUUUACGACCUCGAUGUUGGAUCAGGACAUCCUGAUGGUGCAACCGCUAUUAAGGGUUCGUUUGUUCAACGAUUAACA